RNAcentral lists this ribosomal RNA (1162 nucleotides) under Orbilia succulenticola. Its description in RNAcentral is "eukaryotic LSU rRNA". Lineage: Eukaryota; Fungi; Ascomycota; Orbiliomycetes; Orbiliales; Orbiliaceae. The record is from RNAcentral.
CAAGCUCUUUGNMGGGCAACCGGCACAKUUCUACACCCUUUGUGAACCAAAAAAACUUACUGCUUCSGUAGCAGGCUGGCCUUAACCCGUCAGUUGUAAGCCUGCCGGUGGCAACCAUACAAAUCCAUUGAACUAAUCAUGAACUGKCUGAAUUAAAUUUUCSAAUGAAAAUUAAAACUUUCAACAACGGAUCUCUUGGUUCUCGCAUCSAUGAAGAACGCAGCGAAACGCGAUAGUUAAUGKGAAUUGCAGAAUUCAGUGAAUCAUCSAGUCUUUGAACGCACAUUGCGCCCAUUGGUAUUCCGAUGGGCAUGUCUGUUUGAGCGUCAUUACAAAUCUCAUUUCUUUGGUUUGUUCUGAACGAAAUGGUCUUGGGUUGAGGGUGUUAUAAAACGCAACCUCACCUUAAAACUGCACGCUCUGCGGGUUGCUUUGCCUGAACGAACAUGGUAAUUAAACUUCUGUUCCUGACCGGUGAAGAGUUAACUCGCCUGAAUAAAAACCAAAUUUUUAAUGGUUUGACCUCAGAUCAGACAAGGAUACCCGCUGAACUUAAGCAUAUCAAUAAGCGGAGGAAAAGAAACCAACAGGGAUUGCCUCAGUAACGGCGAGUGAAGCGGCAAAAGCUCAAAUUUGAAAUCUGGAUCCUUUGGAUUCCGAGUUGUAAUUUGAAGAGGUGGCUUCGGUUGUAGCUCCGGUCUAAGUUCCUUGGAACAGGACGUCGUAGAGGGUGAGAAUCCCGUACACGGCUGGCGGCUUACUUCCAUGUGUAGCUCCUUCGAAGAGUCGAGUUGUUUGGGAAUGCAGCUCUAAAUGGGUGGUAAAUUUCAUCUAAAGCUAAAUAUUGGCGAGAGACCGAUAGCGCACAAGUAGAGUGAUCGAAAGAUGAAAAGCACUUUGAAAAGAGAGUUAAACAGUACGUGAAAUUGUUGAAAGGGAAGCGCUUGCAAUCAGACUUGCUUGCGGUUGAUCAACGUUCCUUUUGGUUCGUGCACUCUGCCGUUUGCAGGCCAGCAUCGGUUGGAGCGGUGGGACAAAGACUUCAGGAAUGUGGCUCUCUUCGGGGAGUGUUAUAGCCUGUUGUGUAAUGCCACCUGUUCCGAUCGAGGUCCGCGCUUUUGCUAGGAUGUUGGCUUAAUGAUUGUAAGCGACCCGUCUUGAA